Molecule: RNA transcript, 1939 nt
Organism: Glycine soja
Lineage: Eukaryota; Viridiplantae; Streptophyta; Magnoliopsida; Fabales; Fabaceae
Gene name: single-stranded DNA-binding protein WHY1, chloroplastic-like
Exons: 5
Source: RefSeq, a predicted model, not a curated record
UUGUUAGCUUUAUAUUAUUCAUCCAGUGUAGAGAGUCCAACCAACUAUCAUCAUCGGAUGAGAGAAUGCAUGAACAAAAAGCUGAGAAUUCGUUUCCGGCCAUAGCCAAGACCAAUGGUUGCUGACACCAAACUCAAUAGUCAAUAGCGAUGAUGGCUGCCAUCGUUUCAGCAUAAAAAAACAUAAUGGGUUUCUAAAUGACAAGCAAAAGCCCCCUUGAACCGAAGAUGGUGAUCCACCAAAAAACCACCACACCCCACCGGUCCCGGGCAUCUUCUGGCAACCCCAUCAGUGUUUCAUUUUAUCCAAUGUAGGCCACCAUCUUGAUUUGAUUGCUCGGUUUCUUCUUGUCUUGCUCUUCUCUCUUUUUCCAAAGAAUGAUGGCUACUAAUUAACAAGGCUUUCCCACCAUGCACUUAAGGCUUCCAGCAUAACGAGUGAGUCUUCCCACGUAUGAUCCAGGCCUUGCUGUCAUCAUGUCAUGCCUUGAGUAUGGCCUGUCUGUUAGUUGAGCACCACCUUCUCUGAAAAAUCCUCCGUUCAGGUACUCGUCAUUGAUUGAUCUCCAUUGCCAGCUUUUCCACUCUUGCUCUGAUAUUCUCACUAUCAGUGAGUGAAAUGGGAACUCUAAUUAUCCUUGGUGCAAGGGAUUCUUGGGAAUUUUCUCAUGAGACUGUUAAGUCGAAAAGGUAGUUUCUGUGAUGUAUCUUCUAGUAAUUGUUAAUGAACAAUCCAACAUAUCAGCAUAUUGACAAAUUUAUGAUUAUUGCUUGCUUUAUCUUGCGAUACAAAUUGGAUUUUCUUUUCUCGUGAGAAGGGUAUCUGAUGGUGUCUUCAAACCAUGAAACAAAUUAAACAUGUGAUAUGACCAUAUAUGUUGAUUCAUGUGAAUUAACUAAAUCAGUAUCCACUGUACUUGUUGAGUUUUUUUGGGAUGUGUGUAUGUUAUGCCAUAAGUAAUGGCGGUAUUAUUUUAUCCUUUUAAAUCAUUUUGGAAAUUGUCCUUUUAUGAAGCAACGAAAUUGAAGUUAGAAAAGUUUUGAAGGUGGAGCCACUUCUGGAUGCUACUGGCCACUUAAUUUAUGUACAGGUCUAUGUGCAGGUCUAUGUGUUUAUGAUUUUGUUUAUGUACAAAAUUAAGGAAAUUUAAUCUUUGUUUUUGAAUGAGCCUUGGGUUAGACAUGUAGGUGACCUCACAUAGUAGGAUAAGGUUUUUGAUGUUGUAUUUUUUGAAUGAGCCUUUGAGCAGACAUUAUCAAGUAGUCAUAGUAGAUUUUAUGAAUGAUUUAUUUUUUCAUCCUAUGACUAACGAAAUUGAAGUUAGAAAAGUUUUGAAGGUGGAGCCACUUCUGGAUGCUACUGGCCACUUAUUUAGCUUAAGCGUUCUGAAAAAACCUGCGAACAUGGAGGGAAUUCAGGAAAGCAUCUUUCUCCCUGUUACAAGGGCAGACCUAGAAGUUUUAAGGUCACUUUUCAAUUGUAUCAUGCCAUACCUUCUAGGUUGGAAUGCCUUUGGAAACUCCAUAAAGCCAGAGGUAUAUAGUCAAGUGAAUAGUACCAACCCCAGAUAUGGAGCAGACAAUGAAUGGAACAGAUAGGGAUCACUCUUGCAAUUAUUUUCUCAAGACUGCAGGCAGUUACACAGCCCUGUGCUACCUUCUCAACUUUAAAAUGUGUUGAAUGUCUUCAUCUGGUAGCACAGAAUUGUUUGAGAAAUUGAGUAUCAUUAUUAGAAACUCAUCUUUAAUUUAAUUAUUUACUUAUUUGUUAAAAUAAAUUAUUUACUAUUUUCCUUUUGUUUUUUUCUGUGGCUAGUGCUUUUCCUUUUUGUUUUUGAAUGUAAUUAGAAUUUAUUGACAGCGUAAAAGUUUUUUGGUACUGUAAAAAAAUCUUCAAUUUCUAUGUAUGGGAAGAUCGUUGAAUUUUGUAUUAAAUUAUU